UACGUACCGUCCUAACGUUAUUCGGUAUCACUGGGCUUAAAGCGUUCGUAGGCGGCCUAGAAGGUGAGGUGUGAAAGCCCACGGCUCAACCGUGGAAUAGCGCUUCAAACUGCUAGGCUUGAGGAAGACAGGGGUGAUGGGAACUUAUGGUGGAGCGGUGAAAUGCGUUGAUAUCAUAGGGAACACCGGUGGCGAAGGCGCAUCACUGGGUCUGUUCUGACGCUGAGGAACGAAAGCGUGGGUAGCGAACGGG
This 253-nucleotide ribosomal RNA is filed under the name uncultured bacterium. RNAcentral describes it as "partial 16S ribosomal RNA". It matches the Rfam family "Bacterial small subunit ribosomal RNA", at positions 524 to 776 of the family's 1533-position model. The record is from RNAcentral.